CCUACGGGGGUCAGCAGUGGGGGAUAUUGCACAAUGGGGGGAACCCUGAUGCAGCGACGCCGCGUGGGUGAAGGAGUAUUUCGGUAUGUAAAGCCCUAUUGGCAGGGAAGAAUUUAGACGGUACCUGACUAAGAAGCCUCUGCUAACUACGUGCCAGCAGCCGCGGUAAUACGUAGGAGGCAAGCGUUAUCCGGAUUCACUGGGUGUAAAGGGAGCGUAGGCGGCUAGACAAGCCUUCUGUGAAAGAUCGAGGCCCAACCACAAGAUUGCUGUUGAAACUGUACGGCUGGAGUGCGGGAGGGGUAGGCGGAAUUCCUGGUGUAGCGGUGAAAUGCGUAGAUAUCAGGAAGAACACCGGCGGCGAAGGCGGCCUACUGGACCGUGACUGACGCUGAGGCACGAAAGCGUGGGGAGCGAACAGGAUUAGAUACCCAUGUAGUC
RNAcentral lists this ribosomal RNA (441 nucleotides) under uncultured bacterium. RNAcentral describes it as "partial 16S ribosomal RNA". It matches the Rfam family "Bacterial small subunit ribosomal RNA", at positions 338 to 795 of the family's 1533-position model. The record is from RNAcentral.